GGCUUCAUUAUGAGUGUGUGUGUUGCCCGUCUGUCUCUCGCCCUAGCAGAGACACGGAGUGCUGGGUCUGACCGUGCAUGUCUCACUAAUGCAAACCUGAGACAAAACCUUCAUCACAUGUCCUCGGUGCAGGCUGCAAGCCUACAGAAGCGAGGUUAGGCGUGGGACAGGCAGCGUCACAAGUGCAGGCACACAUCCUUGAGUCACUGGUAUUUGCAUACAUGGACAGACACGAGGGAUGAGCACACUCCAAACUGAGUGGCUAACUGAAAUGGGAAGUGUGGGUGCAAUGCUAAGCAAUGGAAAUGGGCAGGACUGUUUAUGGCUACAUAAACAUUGAUGUGUUUGCUUACUUACAGCUAAUAAAUUAAUGUUACCACUGAGACCAGUGACCUGUUUGUGAAACACUCCAAGCCUGAAAAUCAAGCUUUUUCAAGAGAAAGAAGUUGUUGCAGAUCUGUCAGCAAGGCUCUGGGAGUAGGAGGAUGUUUGGAUUUCCGGCAUAUUGCAACAGAGUUCUUGGCCACGAGCAAAGCUAUGUGUGUGAAUCUCAUUUUAUAUCCGUUGUUUGCAAUACCA
Molecule: long non-coding RNA, 579 nt
Filed under: Gallus gallus (chicken)
Lineage: Eukaryota; Metazoa; Chordata; Aves; Galliformes; Phasianidae
Description: long non-coding RNA NONGGAT009007
Source: RNAcentral